AACGAACGCUGGCGGCAGGCUUAACACAUGCAAGUCGAACGCAUCCUUCGGGGUGAGUGGCAGACGGGUGAGUAACGCGUGGGAACGUGCCCUUCAGUUCGGGAUAACCCAGGGAAACUUGGGCUAAUACCGGAUACGUGCGAGAGCAGAAAGAUUCAUCGCUGAAGGAUCGGCCCGCGUCUGAUUAGCUAGUUGGUGGGGUAAUGGCCCACCAAGGCGGCGAUCAGUAGCUGGUCUGAGAGGAGGAUCAGCCACAUUGGGACUGAGACACGGCCCAAACUCCUACGGGAGGCAGCAGUGGGGAAUAUUGGACAAUGGGCGCAAGCCUGAUCCAGCCAUGCCGCGUGAGUGAUGAAGGCCUUAGGGUUGUAAAGCUCUUUCGUCCGGGACGAUAAUGACGGUACCGGAAGAAGAAGCCCCGGCUAACUUCGUGCCAGCCGCCGCAGUAA
RNAcentral lists this ribosomal RNA (449 nucleotides) under uncultured bacterium. RNAcentral describes it as "partial 16S ribosomal RNA". It matches the Rfam family "Bacterial small subunit ribosomal RNA", at positions 29 to 523 of the family's 1533-position model. The record is from RNAcentral.